CAGCCGCACGGUGCAGCUGUACUCGCGCUCCAGGCUCCUGCUGCUGCCGCUCAUCAACCUGCUCAGCAUCUUCCCGCCCGCCCGCCCGGGAGCGACGCGGCGGCGCUGCGGACCCUGGACCAGGCGUCCCUCAGCCCGGCAGCUCCGCACCGACCCCAGGCACCUGCACCAUCACCCCGCGCCCCAGUGCCCGUGCCCAGCUCGCGGGGCGGGGCCUCAACUGGAGGGGGCCAAUGGGGGUCAGCGCGGCGGAACCGAG
RNAcentral lists this long non-coding RNA (259 nucleotides) under Homo sapiens (human). Its description in RNAcentral is "HSALNT0219526". The record is from RNAcentral. Lineage: Eukaryota; Metazoa; Chordata; Mammalia; Primates; Hominidae.